RNAcentral lists this ribosomal RNA (170 nucleotides) under uncultured Basidiomycota. RNAcentral's name for it is "5.8S ribosomal RNA". It matches the Rfam family "5.8S ribosomal RNA". From Rfam's summary of the family: 5.8S ribosomal RNA (5.8S rRNA) is a component of the large subunit of the eukaryotic ribosome. It is transcribed by RNA polymerase I as part of the 45S precursor that also contains 18S and 28S rRNA. Functionally, it is thought that 5.8S rRNA may be involved in ribosome translocation. The record is from RNAcentral. Lineage: Eukaryota; Fungi; Basidiomycota.
UACAACUUUCAACAACGGAUCUCUUGGCUCUCGCAUCGAUGAAGAACGCAGCGAAAUGCGAUACGUAAUGUGAAUUGCAGAAUUCAGUGAAUCAUCGAAUCUUUGAACGCACCUUGCGCCCCUUGGCAUUCCGAGGGGCACACCCGUUUGAGUGUCGUGAAAUUCUCAAA